AACGUAGGACGCAAGCGUUAUCCGGAGUUACUGGGCGUAAAGCGCGGGCAGGCGGUUUCCUAAGUCUGACGUGAAAGCCCCCGGCUUAACCGGGCGAGGCCGUUGGAAACUAGGGGACUGGAGAGCAGCAGAGGUGGGCGGAAUUCCGGGUGGAGUGGUGAAAUGCGUAGAGAUCCGGAGGAACACCAGAGGCGAAGGCGGCCCACUGGGCUGCAUCUGACGCUGAGCCGCGACAGCCAGGGGAGCGAACGGG
Molecule: ribosomal RNA, 253 nt
Filed under: uncultured bacterium
Lineage: Bacteria
Description: partial 16S ribosomal RNA
Rfam family: Bacterial small subunit ribosomal RNA
Source: RNAcentral